CAGUAUCUUCAGUCCGCUUCCUUCCGGGUGCCAUGGGAGAUGCAAAGCCAUCCAGGGAAUGAGUGGUGCUUUCACUGGGAUCUCAGCAGACCGAUGUGCUUUCCACUUCGUGCCAUUCCGUGGUGCAUGCCUGAACUCCUCUUUUAAACCAGAAACUUCUCCUUUUGCUAAUGGUCUUGUGAUGGAUGCUGUGUAAACUCUGGCAUCUGACACAGGC
This 217-nucleotide long non-coding RNA is filed under the name Gallus gallus (chicken). Lineage: Eukaryota; Metazoa; Chordata; Aves; Galliformes; Phasianidae. The record is from RNAcentral.